This 315-nucleotide unclassified non-coding RNA is filed under the name uncultured fungus. RNAcentral describes it as "partial contains 5.8S ribosomal RNA and internal transcribed spacer 2". The stretch from base 1 to 133 matches the Rfam family "5.8S ribosomal RNA", at positions 22 to 154 of the family's 154-position model. The record is from RNAcentral. Lineage: Eukaryota; Fungi.
UGGUUCUGGCAUNGAUGAAGAACGCAGCGAAAUGCGAUAAGUAAUGUGAAUUGCAGAAUUCAGUGAAUCAUCGAAUCUUUGAACGCACAUUGCGCCCCGUGGUAUUCCGCGGGGCAUGCCUGUUCGAGCGUCAGUACAACACUCAAGCUCUGCUUGGUAUUGGACCGCAUCAGUUCUGAUCGGUCUUAAAAUCAGUGGCGGUGCCAUCGUGCUCUAAGCGUAGUAAUACUCCUCGCUACAGGGUCUCGGUGCGUGCUUGCCAGCAACCCCCAACUUUCUAAGUUUGACCUCGGAUCAGGUAGGGAUACCCGCUGA